This 311-nucleotide ribosomal RNA is filed under the name Desertella sp. Its description in RNAcentral is "SSU rRNA". It matches the Rfam family "Eukaryotic small subunit ribosomal RNA", at positions 251 to 561 of the family's 1831-position model. The record is from RNAcentral. Lineage: Eukaryota; Fungi; Ascomycota; Pezizomycetes; Pezizales; Pyronemataceae.
UCAUGAUAACUUUACGAAUCGCAUGGCCUUGUGCCGGCGAUGGUUCAUUCAAAUUUCUGCCCUAUCAACUUUCGAUGGUAGGAUAGUGGCCUACCAUGGUUUCAACGGGUAACGGGGAAUUAGGGUUCUAUUCCGGAGAGGGAGCCUGAGAAACGGCUACCACAUCCAAGGAAGGCAGCAGGCGCGCAAAUUACCCAAUCCCGACACGGGGAGGUAGUGACAAUAAAUACUGAUACAGGGCCCUUUCGGGUCUUGUAAUUGGAAUGAGUACAAUUUAAAUCCAUUAACGAGGAACAAUUGGAGGGCAAGUC